This 354-nucleotide ribosomal RNA is filed under the name Ixodes ovatus complex sp. Group 3. RNAcentral's name for it is "partial 16S ribosomal RNA". Lineage: Eukaryota; Metazoa; Arthropoda; Arachnida; Ixodida; Ixodidae. The record is from RNAcentral.
GGUAUUGAAUAAGGCUUUAAUGAGUGCUAAGAGAAUGGUUGAACAAUUAUAGGCUUUCUUUAAUUAAUAAAUUGAAGUUAAUGUUUUUUGUGAAGAAGCAGGAAUAAAGAUUAGGGACAAGAAGACCCUAUGAAUUUUUUAUUUUUAAAAUUAAAAAUUUUUAAAUUAAAAAUUUAAUUGGGGUGAUGAGAAAAGAAUAAUUAUCUUUUUUUUAUGAGUUAAUUUGACCCAUUAAUAGUGAUUAGAUGAUCAAAAUACUCUAGGGAUAACAGCGUAAUAAUUUCGGAUAGUUCAUAUAGAUGAAAUAGUUUGCGACCUCGAUGUUGGAUUAGGAUACUUUUUUGGUGGAGAAAU